This 123-nucleotide small RNA is filed under the name Arabidopsis thaliana (thale cress). RNAcentral describes it as "ATSL285820". The record is from RNAcentral. Lineage: Eukaryota; Viridiplantae; Streptophyta; Magnoliopsida; Brassicales; Brassicaceae.
GUCGUUCUUGUCAGUUCGUAGCCGGAUAAAUUUAGUCCGAUUACUACGAACCAACAGAAUUUUCACCGGAAUUUGAAGCGAUUUUGCUUCUUUAUUUCGCUUUUUUCCUCCUUCUUCUUCUGU